AGGAAAGUAGGGGAUCGCAAGACCUUGCGCUUUUGGAGCGGCCGAUGUCUGAUUAGCUAGUUGGUGAGGUAAAGGCUUACCAAGGCGCCGAUCAGUAGCUGGUCUGAGAGGACGACCAGCCACACUGGGACUGAGACACGGCCCAGACUCCUACGGGAGGCAGCAGUGGGGAAUUUUGGACAAUGGGGGAAACCCUGAUCCAGCUAUGCCGCGUGAGUGAAGAAGGCCUUCGGGUUGUAAAGCUCUUUCAGCCGGAACGAAACGGUCACAGCUAAUACCUGUGACUACUGACGGUACCGGAAGAAGAAGCACCGGCUAACUACGUGCCAGCAGCCGCGGUAAUACGUAGGGUGCGAGCGUUAAUCGGAAUUACUGGGCGUAAAGCGUGCGCAGGCGGUUUUGUAAGUCAGAUGUGAAAUCCCCGGGCUUAACCUGGGAACUGCGUUUGAAACUACAAGGCU
RNAcentral lists this ribosomal RNA (461 nucleotides) under uncultured beta proteobacterium. RNAcentral describes it as "bacterial SSU rRNA". It matches the Rfam family "Bacterial small subunit ribosomal RNA", at positions 190 to 642 of the family's 1533-position model. Lineage: Bacteria; Pseudomonadati; Pseudomonadota; Betaproteobacteria. The record is from RNAcentral.